Echinops telfairi (small Madagascar hedgehog) is the source of this 1089-nucleotide long non-coding RNA. RefSeq lists it as uncharacterized. The record is from RefSeq and is a predicted model, not a curated record. NCBI's taxonomy places the organism in Eukaryota, Metazoa, Chordata, Mammalia, Afrosoricida, Tenrecidae. The transcript has 3 exons.
AGGGAAAUGCUGAGUUCACGUCCAUUCAGUCCACUGUAUGUUAUUUGGAUCAUGAUGGAAAAGAUUUCAGUCCAUUGCCUAUAAAGAACCCUUCAUGGAGCUGGAGCCCAACAUGCUGGAGUGCUGUCCACAUGUCAUUUUAUGGCUUGGUAUCAGAGAACACCCGGUUCUGGAUGUCAACUGCGAGCACAUGGCUACUUGUCCCAUAGUCAAGUCUUCAGUCCAGCUGGAUGCAGAAGUUUUCGAUGAUGCCACUUCUCCCUAGGAUUCCAUCUGCGAUCUGUGAUCUUGCUUCUGGGCUGCUAGCUUGUGUGGCGACAUAGAAUGCAGCUUCACAGUGAACACUUGGGAGUUUCUCACUUCAUGGCCCCAGUUUUAAGCCUGUCUAUUUCCGUUAUUCAUUCAAGAACUGAGGUCAUAACCCCAAGAUGGGUCCACAGAUCUACUUACUAUCUAAGUUGCUAUUUAAACCCUUUUGCUGUAAAUUGGGUGAAGAUUUACAGAACAAAUGAUCGGUUUUACAUUCAGCAAUUCAUCCGUCAUUCCAGUCAUUCCAAUCAUUGCAAUCCCCCCAAGGUAACAUCACCUAUCCCAUUUCCUCCUUGUGUUUUCUCUUUCCAUUCCUUUUUCUGUUCUCGCCUUCUGAACCAUCCUUGGGUACAUAUUGCCCUUGUGAGCUCAAAUGGUUGAUUAUAAGGUAUGCUUACCUCACCAGUGUUAUUAUUCCCCAUAUAGAUCUGUCCAUGAUCUGGCUGAAAGUCAAACCAGGGAGUGAAUUCAGUUCCAGACCCGAAAGUGACUAAUGGCCAUCAUCUCACGGACUCCUCCCUUUUCUAUUUGGCUGACGUGACUGGUAUCUGUUAGCAUCAUCUCAUUUAUGUAAUGCUUCACUUUCAUUGGUAGGUCUGAAUAGCAUUCUGGGCCUUCAAAAAAUUACUGUUAGCUCAGAGCUAGUGUCUAACCAGCUCUAAACAAUCUGGGUAUAUCUUUUUCUCAUUUCAAAGAUGAGUAAAGAGUCAUGUACCCUUUGGAAGGAUGCAAGGAGCUGUUUAUAUGAAUAUAUAUUCAUAUAAAUUUAUGUAUAUGAAA